AGCUCCAAUAGCGUAUAUUAAAGUUGUUGCAGUUAAAAAGCUCGUAGUUGGAUUUCUGGUGGGGCUGUCGGCCUGGCUCCGAAAGGGGUCGUGGUUAGUACACGCCUGGCCAUCCUCGGGGGAAGCUUUGCUGGCAUUAAGUUGUCGGCGGAGUGACGCUCGUCGUUUACUGUGAACAAAUUAGAGUGUUCAAAGCAGGCUUAGGCCGUUGAAUACAUUAGCAUGGAAUAAUGAGAUAGGACUUUGGUGGUCUAUUUUGUUGGUUUGCACGCCGAAGUAAUGAUUAAUAGGGGCGGUUGGGGGUAUUCGUAUUCAAUUGUCAGAGGUGAAAUUCUUGGAUUUAUGGAAGACGAACUACUGCGAAAGCAUUUACCAAGGAUGUUUUCAUUA
RNAcentral lists this ribosomal RNA (390 nucleotides) under Dictyochophyceae sp. RNAcentral describes it as "SSU rRNA". It matches the Rfam family "Eukaryotic small subunit ribosomal RNA", at positions 587 to 975 of the family's 1831-position model. Lineage: Eukaryota; Dictyochophyceae. The record is from RNAcentral.